Molecule: unclassified non-coding RNA, 393 nt
Filed under: Hevea brasiliensis (rubber tree)
Lineage: Eukaryota; Viridiplantae; Streptophyta; Magnoliopsida; Malpighiales; Euphorbiaceae
Source: RNAcentral
UGUUCUAUUAUCGAACUGUUUAAUUUUACAAGGCUUUCAUAUGUUGAAGAACAAGAAAUAUACAACCACCAGCAUUAGAAAGCCCUCGCACCUGGUAUUAACAAACAAUAGGGAUCAACAUAGGUCGUUGGGAAUAUGCAUAUGAUUACAACCAACUACUCUGGUUCAAGACGUAUCUGCUAAUAUAAAAAAUACCAAAUACCCGGAAUGACACAAAAAUUUGAUAUGAAGGCCCUAAUGAGAUGUGGCCGAUGCUAAAACUCUGAGCCUUGUGAUCUACAUUAAUUUGUAUGCAAUCCUUUUGAGCAUUAAUAUUUCCUUGUCAAGCACAAGGAAUCCAAGAUAUCAACAAUCAGUAGUGGAACAAUCUUAACUUAAUCCCCUUGGUUUGAA